GAGGGUAGAGCUCAGUGGUAGAGUACAUGCCUAGCACGCAUGAGGCCCUAAUUUCAAUUCCCAGUACCUCCA
RNAcentral lists this transfer RNA (72 nucleotides) under Camelus bactrianus (Bactrian camel). It matches the Rfam family "tRNA". Rfam says of the family: Transfer RNA (tRNA) molecules are approximately 80 nucleotides in length. RNAcentral also lists the same sequence under 2 other names. Lineage: Eukaryota; Metazoa; Chordata; Mammalia; Artiodactyla; Camelidae. The record is from Rfam by way of RNAcentral.